GUGAACGCUGGCGGUAGGCCUAACACAUGCAAGUCGAACGGCAGCACAGUAAGAGCUUGCUCUUACGGGUGGCGAGUGGCGGACGGGUGAGGAAUACAUCGGAAUCUACUUUUUCGUGGGGGAUAACGUAGGGAAACUUACGCUAAUACCGCAUACGACCUACGGGUGAAAGCAGGGGAUCUUCGGACCUUGCGCGAUUGAAUGAGCCGAUGUCGGAUUAGCUAGUUGGCGGGGUAAAGGCCCACCAAGGCGACGAUCCGUAGCUGGUCUGAGAGGAUGAUCAGCCAUACUGGAACUGAAACACGGUCCAGACUCCUACGAGAGGCAGCAGUGGGGAAUAUUGGACAAUGGGCGCAAGCCUGAUCCAGCCAUACCGCGUGGGUAAAAAAGGCCUUCGGGUUGUAGAGCCCUUUUGUUGGGAAAGAAAAGCAGCAGGUUAAUACCCCGCUGUUCUGACGGUACCCAAAGAAUAAGCACCGGGUAACUUCGUG
This 491-nucleotide ribosomal RNA is filed under the name uncultured bacterium. RNAcentral's name for it is "partial 16S ribosomal RNA". It matches the Rfam family "Bacterial small subunit ribosomal RNA", at positions 29 to 507 of the family's 1533-position model. The record is from RNAcentral.